RNAcentral lists this long non-coding RNA (672 nucleotides) under Brassica napus (rape). RNAcentral's name for it is "long non-coding RNA (BNAP_LNC024619)". The record is from RNAcentral. Lineage: Eukaryota; Viridiplantae; Streptophyta; Magnoliopsida; Brassicales; Brassicaceae.
AUUAAUAUACUAUUUUAUUUGAUAGAAACACAUGCAGUCACGUACCAAUUUAAUCCAUCCAAAUUUUUUUUAUUGCUCGUCAAUAAUCAAUCACUAUUAUUUACAAACACAUCACGUAAAAGAACUCAUGUCACAAAUUUAUUUACAACAUAUUUAUUUACUAUAUGCAGUAGAAUGAGUGGAUAGAAACAUAAAAUUUUAAAAAAUAAUAAGUGUAUAAACCCUAAACCCAAAAAUAAACACAAAACCCAAACAUAAAUUUCCAAAUACUAAACCCUAAACUCUAAUCACUAAACUCUAACUCAAAUAUAAACCCUAAACCCAAAUAUAAACACAAAACCCAAAUAAAAUGGAAACAAAAUAAAUAACAUAGUACAUAUUGGUGAAACUAUAAAAUGUCUAUGAUUGCAUGAAAGAAGUUAAUGCUGACCCCAACCAUACCCCCUCACCUUCUAAAUAUUAAACCCUAAAUUCUAUUCACUAAAUCCUAAUCCAAAUAUACCCUAAACCUAAAUAAAUAGAUUAAGCUAAACCCUAAUCAAGGAAGUAUAAACCCAAAUAGAAUGUAUAUAAUAUGGUUUACUAUACCCAAACCUUUACUUAGUAAAUCUAAACCCUGGCAGGAACCUAUAAACCCAAAUACAAUCUAUAAAUUGUUUUCCAAUAUUAAAC